Passer domesticus (house sparrow) is the source of this 1877-nucleotide long non-coding RNA. RefSeq lists it as uncharacterized. The transcript has 6 exons. The record is from RefSeq and is a predicted model, not a curated record. NCBI's taxonomy places the organism in Eukaryota, Metazoa, Chordata, Aves, Passeriformes, Passeridae.
CAAAACUCAUACCAUUAUUAAUUCACCCACACACACACAGAGGAACAGAGAUGUUCAAAAAACAUGUAGAUGUGGUGCUUAGGUUGCACAUGUUGACACAAAUGAGACUAUUGAUGUCUCCCACAGGAGGCAUCUGCAAGUAGCAAAACCACAGUCCCAGAAGUGAGAAACUAAACCUUGCCUGUGAAGGAGAAGUGAUUUACCAUCAUUCUGCAUGUGGCUGAGAUUAGAAUUUUUUGAGAAUAAUUACAGAAGCUCACAGCAAAUUUAAUCUUCACAAUUUUGUUGGUCAAAAAACCCAGCAGGAAGUUGCAACCAGCAUGAAGUACAAUUGCUUGAAGAGUAACAGAUGAUGUCUCAUCACAGUACAGGAAGCUGUGUGGUAAAUCAUCUGGAAAUAUGUCAUGCAGCCCAGCAGGAAAACCAUUGAACUAAACAUCUUUAGUCUGCCAAAGGCUGUUGCAUAGACAAACGGACACAAAUACACCAGAGGGAUUCAGUUAUGGUGUUCAGAGGAACUCACUUCCAUCAAAUGCAAAGCAGCAUGUUAGAGGUGAAAGUCAAUUGCUUGCUUGUAUUUUUAAAUAAGGGGAGUACAGAGAAGAAGUUUAUAUACAACCUGUUUUCUUCCUGCAUGGAUCAUGGCAAGGAUGGAGAGAUGGUGGGUAUGCCUGUGUGUUAGGAAGUGAUUUGUCUUGAGCUUAGUCAUGGUGAUGAAGAACAGUCUACAGAAGGACAAUUUUUGAGCUCUUCAAUCUCUACACCACUUACUGGCCAGUCCUAUUGAAAACCACAGACUUGUCUGCAGCUGUCAUAUGCUUCUUCUUUAACUUAGUUAAUGAUGGUCUAUGGAAGCUAUUUAUUAGAGUCAUAAACAACCUCGCUCUGACUGAAUCUUCUUCUGAGGUUGUCUUGAAGAGACAGGAAAGAAAAAGGUCUCACAGGUGAUGUCAGAGUCAUGAUUUCUAAGGGACCAGAUAGAAAAUGUGGCUUAAAAUAAUUUUAUCAAAUGGGAAGGUGAUUUCUUAUCAUGGUGGUGGCCCUUCAAGAUCUUGUAAGAGUUCUUAUUCCGUAGGAAUACUUUGCAUUCCCAUUUUCAAGCAGUUGCAGCUGGGACUAUAUAAAGACUGCUUCAAUUUGUUUCCUGUUGCUAUAAAAGCAAAUAGAAUUUCACAGUACUCAGGGUGGCCUUUAUAAAUAUUGUGCACUCAUGGAGUUAUGAUGGAUCCAUGUGUGUCUCCUGACAGGGAGGAUUUUGAUUUGAAGCAUGCUGCAUAGGAAUGAAGAUGUUGCACAAAAGUGCAAUUUUCCCUGGAUGUACUACUAAAAUGGUGAUAAGAGUUGAAGCUUGCCAAAUUCAUAAGACAGUAAUUUCUUUCAAGAAGUUGCUGAACAAGAGAUGAAUCACUGAUCUCUUCAUGAUGAACAAAAAUUUGUUACAUCACAGCAUGUCAUUGGAGGACCAAAAAGGACCACCAUGGACAGCCCUGGAUUCCUCCCUCUGCUGAUAAACCAGAGCAACACCUUCACAGAUGCCUUAAGGCUAUGCUCAAAGAUGGUGUACUGUGGAAAACAAAAAUAAUUCAGAAAUACUUCAGAGGUACUGCCUUUGUAGACAAAGUCAGAAGUGACAGAGGGAAUACAUGUUGGAAUGCCAACAAUCAAGAAUACUGAGAAUGCCAGGAAUAACUACAUACCUUGGGGAUGUGAUGGUUGAUGACAUCCUUCGUGGCAGUGGCCAGGAAAGAGCAGAGAUAAAGAAGGGAAUGAAAAAACUUCCUCUUUUACAAGAAAGAAAAUAUUUCUUUUAUCUGAGUAUGUUUCAAAUACAUAUCCUGAUAGUGAAGAAAACAUACUGUUGUGCUGACAGAAAAUCG